UGAAGGUUAGCCAAUGGUUGGCCAUAUACAUUACAUUGGCACGUUGGUUCAACUUUCGA
This 59-nucleotide microRNA precursor is filed under the name Panagrellus redivivus. RNAcentral describes it as "microRNA prd-mir-7871 precursor". Lineage: Eukaryota; Metazoa; Nematoda; Chromadorea; Rhabditida; Panagrolaimidae. The record is from miRBase by way of RNAcentral.